AACGAACGCUGGCGGCAUGCCUAACACAUGCAAGUCGAACGAGACCGUCGGGUCUAGUGGCGCACGGGUGCGUAACGCGUGGGAACCUGCCCGUAGGUUCGGAAUAACUCCCCGAAAGGGGUGCUAAUACCGGAUAAUGUCUUCGGACCAAAGAUUUAUCGCCUUGGGAUGGGCCCGCGUUGGAUUAGCUAGUUGGUAGGGUAAAAGCCUACCAAGGCGACGAUCCAUAGCUGGUCUGAGAGGAUGAUCAGCCACAAUGGGACUGAGACACGGACCAGACUCGUACGGGAGGCAGCAGAGGGGAAUAUUGGACAAGGGGCGAAAGCGUGAUACAGCAAUGCCGCGUGAGAGAUGAAGGCGUUAGGGUUGUAAAGCUCUUUUAGCCGGGAUGAUAAUGACAGUACCGGGAGAAUAAGCACCGGCUAACUCCGUG
This 433-nucleotide ribosomal RNA is filed under the name uncultured bacterium. RNAcentral's name for it is "partial 16S ribosomal RNA". It matches the Rfam family "Bacterial small subunit ribosomal RNA", at positions 29 to 507 of the family's 1533-position model. The record is from RNAcentral.